UUCAGCAGCCAUAUCACCCUGCAACUCACAACUGGCAACCCACUGAAGCUAAGCAGGUGUGAGCCUGGUCAGUACCUGGAUAUGAGACCUCCUGGGAAAAACUAAGGUUGCUGCUGAAA
Ribosomal RNA from Lepisosteus oculatus (spotted gar), 119 nucleotides. The record is from Ensembl. Lineage: Eukaryota; Metazoa; Chordata; Actinopteri; Semionotiformes; Lepisosteidae.